GGUAAUCUAAUUUACUGCCCAGAAUUGAGAAAUCUCACAUCUCCCAAAGUGGUGGGAAUUUAACAUUCCAAGUUGGUACAGAUAUAUGUGAGGCUAAAAUACCCUCAUUUUCAUGUAAUCUCAGCCUGGGUGUAAGUAUAUUUCAAAUGGGCUUAACAUUGUUUCCGAUAAAAAAAAGUGUCAAGGAUCAAAACUGUAGCUUGUUGGUUGAAUGAAAUACCCAAAAGGCCAUGCCAAAAUUACCAAACCACUUCAAAAUUUUAGGCGUAACUUCAAAUUCUACUUCACUUUCGAAGUUAAUUAUUCGUAAAGUCACAAUGUUACAAAGAAGAUAACUAACAUUUACUUUAUAGUUAAUAAACUUGAUAAAAUAGCAAUUAAGAAAUAUAGCUCACAGUUCCCUUAAUAAUGUUAUAUUUCAUUAAUAUGGAAAUUACAAAGUUCUGCAUAUUAACAAAAACAAAAUAAGAACACUAUUGUUUUCCUUUUAUCUAUAUUAAGAAAAUUCUGAAAAAUCCAAAAAUAUCUAAAAGCAAUUUUUUGAGUAUUAUAAAGCUAGCAGUGUGCCAUAAAAGAUACAGAGCAAAGAGGCAAAUGGCAAUUGACAAAAUUGCAUUUCAAGAUUUAUGAACUAAAAGUGCAACUAGUUACCAUUAUAUGAUCAAACACACAACUGUUAAAAAAUACAUAGUGAACAACAAACUGCUAUUCUAGUGGUGCAGAACACAAGCAAACCUUAGGUAAGUAUUCUGUAACAAUUAUCAUUGGACUGCUUUGAGUCACAGCACCCAGAAAUUGGACAACAUUUGGAUGUCGUAUCUUCUGAAGCAAUGCGAGCUCAUCUCUGAAUGCCUUUCUGAAAUUCCAACAAGACAUCAAAACUCCAAAAACAAAUGAAAUGAAGUCACAAAUUAGAUUUGAUACAAAGAAAUUGGAGAUAGAGGACCAACACUUAAACAUACACACAUACACAAAAAUCACAAAUAAUGUUAAACAAACCCACACUUUUUCCUCAUCAGUAAAAACUUCCUCUCCCAGUGUUUUAACAGCAACUUUAAUGCCUCGCCAAGAAGCUACACGAAAUGUUCCCUGUGUUAACAUUCAACAAUUAAUAUUUAGUGAUAUAGCAUUCUUGUUCAUGAUCAAUACAGUAUCCUAUACAAAAGGAUUUUACCAAAGUGCACUGUAUACAUAAAGAUGGGGAAGUUUGUGUACAACUUCAAGACAGCAUUAUAACAACUUUAAGUCUCUCAAAUAACUCACUUAUACAAGAAGAAUUAAACUCAAUUUUGAUUAAAACUAUGGAAGUUCUUAUUAGAAUUGAAAAGGAUACAUGUCUUAAUGCAUUAGAUGAAGAAUAUUUUAGUUAAACAGAAAAGGCACCAUAGGUUUCUGAAGAAUGAUAUAACCUAACACCUAACUCUAGCACACAAGCAUAUGUACUUCUCGUCACAAGUUCAAUGAUAAUGUAAACCAAGGUAGAGAAAGUAAUAUCAGAAUGCAUCAAAAGCAUAAACUACAGCAAUUGACAGACAAAACAACAAGGUUCAUAGGUUACCUUUGUGAUAUUGACACUGUUAGAAAAGUCGAGUUCACUAGGAUCAAUCUCAUACUCUGGCACUUCCCGAGAAUUUUGAACAUGCAUUGGGGCUAUCUAAAAUCAAAGAGACUAGAGCCUUUUAAACAUGAAGCUACACUUGAUAAUUUAAAAGGAAACUAGACAAAUUUAAGAGAAUAUCAAUAGCUGCAGGAACAAGGUCGAUUAAAUACCGGAGGCUUUGCACCAUGCUUCUCCAAAAGCUUGAUCACAUCUUGGUUCUUAUAGUAAACCGCAUCUGCAAGUGGCUGUUUAGACAAAAUCAUCCAUUCAAUAGUUCUAUUUAACAAAGGACAACAUCACCCAAGUAGUUCAUAUUUCAACGAUUGUCCCCAAAGAAAGAAAACCAAUAAUUUCGGUUAGCUUUUGAUUAUUGCUUUUACUACUUUGCUUUUGGAUGCCAAAAAGAAAAGAAAAUAAUGUGUAUGUGUGACGGAAAUUUUUUUUAAAGAAAGUAUAAAAUGCAUCAUUUCACUGUGUACAGAACAAUAAUUCUACUAGAACUAGAAGUAGUUUUCCACUCCAGACAUUUCUUUCUUUUCAUUAAUAGUAAUUCUACUUCCUAUUGGAUAUUAUUUAUCGAAAUCAUUUUGCAACUAGCAAAAUACAUAAAGAGACUGAAUUUAUAAAAAGAAAAAGAAAUAGAGAGAGAGAGUUACAGUGCUGCCCCAGCGAUCUUUAGAAUCGACUUCGGCGCCGCGAUCAAGGAGCAACCGGACGACAUCAGUAAGGCCUUGGCAGGCGGCGACAUGGAGGGCGGUCCGACCGUCAAUAUCUUUGAAGUUAACAUUGGUGCCAGAGUCCAAGAGCUCCUUAAUCCCUUCCAGAUCCCCCUCGUUAGCCAUGUACAUUAGCCUCACCCUCGGGUCUAUCGCCGCCUCGACGGCUCCACGAGACGAACCUUCCCGGUCGGGCGCCAGCGACGAUUGCUUGCCCAGUGUGAAUCGAGCUGGCGACUUGCAUCCGGUGGUGGAGUCCAUUGAGUGCAAUAGAAGUUUAGUUGUUCCUUUCUGGUGGUUAUUUGGUUACUCGAUAGGGGUGUGCAUUUAACUAAGCCAGAAUUGAUAUUUUAAUUAAUUAAUUAAUUUGUUUUAUUUUACAAAUAUUAUUUACUAACUCGUAAAAAUACAAAAGCUUGAUAUUUUAGAAAAGUUUUGUGGUUAAAAUUAUAAAGGUAGAAAACAUGAGUUUAAAUUUUGAAAUUUUAUUUUUUUAUAAAAAUAUCCUCUAUAAUUUAAUUAAAGAUUUUAUAAGUAUAAAUAAGUUAUACAAGAGUUUUUCAUAUUUUAAAAUAAUUAUAUUUUUACGGAAAUUAAGUUAAAAUAUACCUAAAAAUUAAAAAUGGUUUUAUGCAAUAAUUUAUUUCCAUUUUAGAGUGUUUAUUGUCUCAGGUGUAGUUUAGGUUCGAAAAAAAUUAUAAAUGUGCCAAAUAUUAACUAAAAUUUAUUCUAUUUUAUUUAAAAAAAUUUAAUUUUUUAAUAUAUAGUAAAAUUACUAUAUAUUUUUAACCCUUUCAUCAUAAAUAAAAAAACUAUUACUAAAAUCAAAUUUAAAUAAUAUUACAUUGUUGGGAAAAUCUUAUUUAUUAAUGAUUAUUUACUAUAAUUAUAAAAUAUUCUUAUUUAUCAAUCAUGUUUUGUAACUCUUUCGAUUUCUUUUGCAAAAAAAAUUAUAAAUAUUUUAAAGGAGAAAUGUGUAGGAUAAUUUGCAAUGGAAGAAUAUGAAUGUGGAUAAGAAAUAAAGCAGGUAGUUGCUUUCAAAGACAAUGACGUUGGGAGAUGCUAACACAGCACUACCGCCGAUGACGUGGGAUUGGAUUCACCGUUUAUUUUGGUUGUUGGGCUUCACUUAAAUUCUUCACUUUUCUGCCUACAAAAGUUAUCGUUAGUUACAGUGGUAAAUUUGUCUGAAUCUUAUAAUUAAAUGAUACAAUAUAUUGUAAUUUUAAGACCCAAAAAAAUAUUAUUGUUGGGACAUAUAAUCACGAAUUCUAAAAAGAUUAGUUUUUAUGGAUAUCUUCUCUCGAUAAGUAUAAAAUAUUAUUUAAGUUCAACUCACUUAUCAAAUUAUAACAUCAUUUCUAUCUUACUUCCAGAACUCUAAAUCUUAACUGAUGCAAGGAAUAUCAAAUUUCAACAUAUAUAAAGUUCGAUUUUCUUGUGACUUAGUAACAAAAGAAAAAUUAGAACAGUUUACUUACACAAAUAUGUAUUGAAAAUUAGUUCCUCAAUGAACAAGUUAAGUGCUUUCUCCCAAAUACAUUAAACCUAAGCAAACCAUUUUGAAUAAUUCUUCAAUAAAGAGUAUAUUGAAAGAGGUCUGCUCGACAUCAAACUCUUUAAAGAUCAAAUCUCUUGUUUAUGGGAACUUUGAUUACAUUGAAACUCACUUGGCUAAUAAAAGUUCUCAAAGAUAAGUAUUUAAAAGCUCAAAACAAUUUUGCUCAAAAUAUGUCAACCAAAUAAUACAAGUUACUAUAGCCAGCCAAAUGUUCCUUAAGUUGCAAUUAACUUAGUAUUUAACCCUUGUAAUUACUAACCAUAAUAAUCUCUCAAUUUAAAAUUUUUGAAUAAAAAAACAUAGUGCAAGAUAAUUCAACCCAUAUCAUGUCAAUACUCCCCCUCCCCGUUAAUCCAUCCAAUCAACUAUGAUUUAAAAUAAUGAAAUUAACUAUUAAUGCAAAAUAACAAAAGCAUAAACAAUCAAUAUGCAUAGUAAUCUAAUAUCAUAGCAGAUAUACAACAAGCACAAUUCAUCAAGUACAUGUCCCAAAAUAGAAUCCAAAAAAAAAAAAAAAAACAGAACUUCAACAGAACAUAAACAACAACCAUUAAAGAGAGUAUCCAACAAAACUCACUUCCCCGCCUUUUGUUGACAAAUGCAAAGGUACUAGAUGCCAUAAGCAAGUAAAUCGGACAUUCCGCAUCAUCAAGGGUGAAAUUAGGUGAGUCCGACCCCCUGAAAUAAAAAAUUUCUAUUUAGCGCUUUUGAAAUUUUUAAAAUUUUAAAAUAGUAAAAAUUAAAUUACACUUUAACCUAUCUAAAAAUAAAAAAAAAUUAUUUAAUAUUUUAAAAAUUAUAAAGAUAAAAGCUAUUAAAAUUAUAAAAGAUAAAAGCUAUUAAAAUUUUAUUUUAAUUUUAAAAAUUAAAUUUCUGACUUCCCUCUUACGUGUCAUAUAAAUUGGAGAAGCUUUAAUUGUUGCUCAUGAUACUAGGUAUUCUUUUCGAGACAUAUAACUUCUUCAUCCAAAUGCUAAGUCUAACCUAUGCAACACAUAGAACUCUGGAAAAUGUUAAACUAGUUUCAACUAGGGCAAAAACUAGUGUAGGCUCAUCAUCUUCAUUAGUAUCAUUAGCCGAAGCAUCCACUUUAGUGCCAUUUGUAGCAUGCUUUCCCUUUUUUUCGUUUUGAGGAAUUUUCAACUCCUACUGAACUUCAUCCUUCUCCACUAUGUCUAGCUUUUACUUCAAGAGAAUUUAGAAGAUGAAGGAUGUAAAAGGCAAAGCAAGCCUUGUGUUCUUAGUCUAUGCAUACUUGACUAUUUCGUUAAAAACCAAUUGACCAAAAUCAAAAGGAAUGAACGAUACUACCUUGUACAGUAAGACAAUUAUGCGUUUAAUCACAACAUUCUUUGUACUGAAACUCUAAUUAAUCUAAACAAGAGUAGUUUUAAAUUAAACUUUUUUGUUGACUAAGAAACAUAAAACUCCUAAAUAACUUAAAAUAUUUAAAAAUAUAUCCAAAAUUUAGAAUAAAUAAAUAAUAAAAUAAUAAUACCUAAUGAAUACAAUAUUGGGCUCAUAUAUAAUAAAAUUAAGCCUAAAAAUCAAAUCCAAUAUGAUUUAAACUCGAAUUAAAAGUAUGAAACUCGUAAUUUCCAUAAUAAAUCGAUCCAAAAAUUCUACUCGCUUAGUCUUCACUAAAACAGUUAUAGCUUGAUCUCCCGAACUUGAAAUUGAGUGAUUCAAAGUGCGUUUAGAAGCUAAGAGAUAGAUCUUCGAACACUAUGAAGACAUCUCAACCCAGAAAUUUCUGGAUCCCAUCCAAAAAAUAAUUGACACAUUCAGUGAAUAGAAUUUAAUAAAUUUCACAACAUCUGUAUAUGUAUCAAUAAACUUGAACUGAUCGAAUGAAUAAAAAAAUAGGGCCCACCAUGAAUAUCCUUCAUGUUUGUGAAUAUCCUCUACGAGUUUGGCGAGACAGAGUAUUUAUUCUAUCACGUCAUGGUAGUGGACAAGAAGGCCUCUCUUAUAAAUGCCCUUCCAUUGAUGGAGAAGGGAUUGAUUUUUCAGCCCUGAAGUUACUUUACCCAAAUACUUUUUCUAUCUCUCAACAAUUAACUUGUCCUCUUAUUUCCUUUUGGCUCUCUGUAUCUUUAGUGAACUGACUUCCAUAGAAUCACUACUUACUUCACUCUAUCUCCUCCCUUGUCAAGCCUUGUAUCAAAAAAAAAUAUACAAAAAUUCAUCAAUGAAUGUAAUUAACUCUUAUUAUAUUUUUUUAUAUAUUGUUAAUAAUUUCUUCCCCUCUUUUAAUCAAUGAAUGUAAUUAACUCUUAUUAUAUUUGAAACAUAUAAAUUAUUAAUGUGUUUUUUAAAAUUUUAUUUUAAACUUAACAAUUUAAUAUUCAUUAAUUUUAAUAUUAUAACAUUAAAAGUUAAUUUAAUUAAGUAAAAUAUUAAAGCCAAAAAAUAAUUUAUUUAAAAUCACCUUUAUAUUUAACAUACACAAAAAUAUAAAGAAAAAAGGCAUAGAAUAAAUUAAAAAAACCAUUAAAAGGAGAGACUCUAAUAUGAACAUGACUAUUUUUUUUUUGUAACCUUAUAUUGUUAUAGUGUAUAUAUAUGAUUUGUAUAUAUGACAUUGAUUGAUCAAAUGUUCGCAUGGCAUUUCUGCCAUGUGUCACAAUUUAUUUAAUUGUUGAAAUUUUAUUUCAUUAUAAAUUAAGAAAUUUAGCAUUUUAGGGUGAUAUGUGUAUCAUAUGUCAUAUUUCGGCUAUCAUAUUAGAACAAAAAAAAAUAUAAAGUUUGGAUAUCAAAUAUUAUAUUAACUCAAAUAAAAAUUUAUCAUACUUUUAGGUGUAAUUCAUGAUUUAGGGUUUAAAUUAUAUAUAUUUAUUUUGGUACUAAAUUAUUUUCAUACUUUAACAUUUUAGGGUGAUAUGUGUAUUAUAUGUUAUGUUCGGGUAUCAUAUUAGAACAAAAAAAAUAAAUUACAAAAAAAAUAAAGUUUAAAUAUCAAAUAUUAUAUUAACCCAAAUAAAUAAAGUUUAAAUAUCAAAUAUUAUAUUAACCCAAAUAAAAAUUUAUCAUACUUUUAGGCAUAAUUCAUGAUUUAGUCUUUAAAUUAUAUAUAUUUAUUUUGGUACUAAAUUUUUUUUCAUACUUUAAGAAGUUUUUAGCCACAACGUGACUACAUUUAUUAAAUAUCGAUAAAUUUUGAAGAAAAUAAAUAAAAUAAAAUACCAAAAUAAAGCAAAAGAAAUUAGAUUCUAAAAUAAAAAAAAAUAUAAUUAAGGAUGUAAUCAUGAAUAAAGCAUAUUUUUUAAUCAGUGGUUUUCGGACAAAAGGCCUAACUAUUUAUUCCCAAUCCCGUUUUCCUCUUUAUCCUUUUAACAGAGAUAUCAAAAUCAAAUUACAAUAAAACUCGAUAUACGCACAGCGAAAUUCAUUCUUCGAUCUUCGAACGCCGGCGGCGAAACACCGCUUUGUUUACCGGUGACGUCGUUUUCUUCAGGUUCUCUUUCUUCCUCGAUUUCUAAUUUCUCCUUUAAUUUCAUUCGAUCCCUCUUUGGAUCUCUAUGUCGUUUUUACGUAAUUAAUGAUUUGAUUUGGGUUGUUAUUUAAGUGUUUGAUUAGGAAAUUAAGUGGAUCAUUUCGUUUUUGGUUUAGAAAAUUCUCGAAUCUGGUUGCAGUUUCAUUACCAAGGCUCGCGUUUUCGUAAUCAAAUUAAAUUCAAAGCAUAUUUAAAGCAAGAAGAUUUGAUCAUUCAAGUUAAAAAAAUAUGUAAUUUUGAAAGAAUUAGCUUAAUUGAAGCCUGACCGGAACUGAAUUUCAUCAGUUCAACUCCUCACUUGAGAGCUUUCUCUGUCUGUACGCUUCCAGUCGCCAUUGCGCCCAGCAUAAAUCUCAUUGUGCGGGCAUAACCCAAAAGAAACAUUAUAGGGCAAAUGAUUCUAUCUUUUAGUUUACUUCUUUGAGAUUUGGGAUCCUUUGGGUGCUACUGUCUGAUCAUGAAUCUGAAAUACUUUUGAGUAGUUUGGAUCAUGAAUCACUUGGCUUUCUGGUUGUACUUACCAUUUGGAUUAGCCUCGUUUCCUUUCUUCUCCUGAUUUGCUUCUGAUUUUCAAUGUGAUGCUGAAUUGUCAAUGGAAUUUUUGCUGAGCGGGUUAUCAUAUAGACAGGCAUAUAUCUUUUAAUUACUUCCCCAAACUAUCAUGUAUGUAUUGGAAAAAAAAUUAUAAAAUGACAUUUAAAUACUUUAAAUUUAGGAAAAUAAACAGAAAAAGAACAGACAGUAUGUGACCGAAAUGUGAAAGGGUUAUUUUCCAGCUAAAUUAGCUAUUGUUGGUGAACUGUUUACUGCUAUGUAAGAAACUACUGAAAUAACAUAAGGAUAAAUUAACUAUCCUGGAUAUGAAUGUUGUUCUAAAUGUGCCUUUUUGGCUCCUUUUUAUAUAGGAUUCCCUAAAAUUUUUGUCUAAUGGGCAAACUUGUUUGAUCUUAUUACAGUGUGAACUUGCCAUCUCAUGUUUAUUUUCAUGGAAAAAAAAUUGCUACUCUUGCUGACAAGAUGCAUGCAUUCGACAACUAAUUCAUAGAAUCUGAAUUAUUAUUUUGUGGUCCAUGGUUCUCUGCUGUCCUUGGAUCUUAUUGCUUCUACAAUUUAAUUGCUCCGAUUAAACUGUUAACUAAAGUUAAAGGCUUGAUGAAUUAAGCUAAAGUUGAGGAUGUGCCUUUAAGAUUGAAAACUUAUUUCCUUCUGUUUGGAGGUAGGCUAAUCAAUAUUUCUUUCUGUUUCUUGUAUAUAUUAAUUAAUCCUACCUCUAUUUUCUCUUAAUUCAGAUAUCUGAAAGAUGUCCGGUCAAUCCCAGCGCUUGAAUGUGGUUCCAACUGUUACAAUGCUUGGAAUCAUGAAAGCUAGGCUUGUGGGUGCUACAAGAGGUCAUGCACUUCUCAAGAAAAAGAGUGAUGCCCUUACUGUACAAUUUCGUCAGAUUCUUAAGAAGAUAGUAUCUACAAAAGAAUCAAUGGGAGAGAUUAUGAAAACCUCUUCAUUUUCCCUAACUGAGGCCAAGUAUGUUGCUGGUGAGAACAUCAAGCAUGUUGUCCUUGAGAAUGUUCAAAAUGCUUCUCUUAAAGUUCGAUCCCGACAAGAGAAUGUUGCUGGAGUGAAACUUCCCAAGUUUGAGUAUUUCACUGAAGGUGAGACCAAGAAUGAUCUGACUGGUUUGGCCAGAGGUGGGCAACAGGUCCAACAGUGUCGUGCUGCUUAUGUGAAAGCUAUUGAGGUUCUAGUUGAGCUUGCUUCUCUUCAGACAUCAUUCUUGACACUUGACGAGGCAAUCAAGACUACAAAUCGCAGGGUUAAUGCUUUGGAGAAUGUUGUGAAGCCAAGGUUGGAGAAUACCAUAAGUUACAUCAAGGGAGAGUUGGAUGAGCUUGAAAGGGAGGAUUUCUUCAGGUUAAAGAAGAUACAAGGUUAUAAGAAGAGGGAGAUAGAGAGACAGCUUGCAGAGGCCAAGCUGUUUGCUGAGGAACAGGUUGCAGAGAAGGUUUCCUUGAGAAAAGGGGUCUCUAUAAAUUCAGCUCACAAUAUGCUAUCUGCAGCCAGG
Molecule: long non-coding RNA, 9432 nt
Filed under: Gossypium barbadense (sea-island cotton)
Lineage: Eukaryota; Viridiplantae; Streptophyta; Magnoliopsida; Malvales; Malvaceae
Description: long non-coding RNA (GBAR_LNC015303)
Source: RNAcentral